UACGUAGGUGGCAAGCGUUGUCCGGAUUUACUGGGCGUAAAGGAUGCGUAGGCGGACAUUUAAGUCAGAAUGUGAAAUACCCGAGCUUAACUUGGGUGCUGCAUUUGAAACUGGGUGUCUAGAGUGCAGGAGAGGUAAGUGGAAUUCCUAGUGUAGCGGUGAAAUGCGUAGAGAUUAGGAAGAACACCAGUGGCGAAGGCGACUUACUGGACUGUAACUGACGCUGAGGCAUGAAAGCGUGGGGAGCAAACAGG
RNAcentral lists this ribosomal RNA (254 nucleotides) under uncultured bacterium. RNAcentral describes it as "partial 16S ribosomal RNA". It matches the Rfam family "Bacterial small subunit ribosomal RNA", at positions 524 to 776 of the family's 1533-position model. The record is from RNAcentral.